CUGACUGCUAUCGGAUUGAUACUAAGCCAUGCGAGUCAUUGUAGUAAUACAAGGCAGACGGCUCAGUAACGCGUAGUCAACCUAACCUAUGGACGGGAAUAACCUCGGGAAACUGAGUAUAAUGCCCGAUAGAACAUUAUGCCUGGAAUGGUUUAUGUUCCAAAUGAUUUAUCGCCGUAGGAUGGGACUGCGGCCUAUCAGUUUGUUGGUGAGGUAAUGGCCCACCAAGACUAUUACAGGUACGGGCUCUGAGAGGAGUAGCCCGGAGAUGGGUACUGAGACACGGACCCAGGCCCUAUGGGGCGCAGCAGGCGAGAAAACUUUGCAAUGUGCGAAAGCACGACAAGGUUAAUCCGAGUGGUUUCUGCUAAAGGAACCUUUUGUCGGUCCUAGAAACACCGAUGAAUAAGGGGUGGGCAAGUUCUGGUGUCAGCCGCCGCGGUAAAACCAGCACCUCAAGUGGUCAGGAUGAUUAUUGGGCCUAAAGCAUCCGUAGCCGGCUCUGUUAGUUUUCGGUUAAAUCUGUACGCUCAACGUACAGGCUGCCGGGAAUACUGCAAAGCUAGGGAGUGGGAGAGGUAGACGGUACUCGGUAGGAAGGGGUAAAAUCCUUUGAUCUAUUGAUGACCACCUGUGGCGAAGGCGGUCUACCAGAACACGUCCGACGGUGAGGGAUGAAAGCUGGGGGAGCAAACCG
RNAcentral lists this ribosomal RNA (697 nucleotides) under uncultured marine archaeon. Its description in RNAcentral is "bacterial SSU rRNA". It matches the Rfam family "Archaeal small subunit ribosomal RNA", at positions 23 to 726 of the family's 1478-position model. The record is from RNAcentral.